Molecule: non-coding RNA, 30 nt
Filed under: Homo sapiens (human)
Lineage: Eukaryota; Metazoa; Chordata; Mammalia; Primates; Hominidae
Source: RNAcentral
GCUGAGGUGUUGUUUAUCCCAUGGUGGGUC